AGAGUUUGAUCCUGGCUCACGAUGAACGCUGGCGGCGCGCCUAACACAUGCAAGUCGAACGAGCGAGAGAGAGCUUGCUUUCUCAAGCGAGUGGCGAACGGGUGAGUAACGCGUGAGGAACCUGCCUCAAAGAGGGGGACAACAGUUGGAAACGACUGCUAAUACCGCAUAAGCCCACAGGUCGGCAUCGACCAGAGGGAAAAGGAGCAAUCCGCUUUGAGAUGGCCUCGCGUCCGAUUAGCUAGUUGGUGAGGUAACGGCCCACCAAGGCGACGAUCGGUAGCCGGACUGAGAGGUUGAACGGCCACAUUGGGACUGAGACACGGCCCAGACUCCUACGGGAGGCAGCAGUGGGGAAUAUUGCACAAUGGGGGAAACCCUGAUGCAGCGACGCCGCGUGGAGGAAGAAGGUCUUCGGAUUGUAAACUCCUGUUGUUGAGGAAGAUAAUGACGGUACUCAACAAGGAAGUGACGGCUAACUACGUGCCAGCAGCCGCGGUAAAACGUAGGUCACAAGCGUUGUCCGGAAUUACUGGGUGUAAAGGGAGCGCAGGCGGGAAGACAAGUUGGAAGUGAAAUCUAUGGGCUCAACCCAUAAACUGCUUUCAAAACUGUUUUUCUUGAGUAGUGCAGAGUAGGCGGAAUUCCCGGUGUAGCGGUGGAAUGCGUAGAUAUCGGGAGGAACACCAGUGGCGAAGGCGGCCUACUGGGCACCAACUGACGCUGAGGCUCGAAAGUGUGGGUACCAAACAGGAUUAGAUACCCUGGUAGUCCACACCGUAAACGAUGAUUACUAGGUGUUGGAGGAUUGACCCCUUCAGUGCCGCAGUUAACACAAUAAGUAAUCCACCUGGGGAGUACGACCGCAAGGUUGAAACUCAAAGGAAUUGACGGGGGCCCGCACAAGCAGUGGAGUAUGUGGUUUAAUUCGACGCAACGCGAAGAACCUUACCAAGUCUUGACAUCCCUUGACGAUACUGGAAACAGUAUUUCUCUUCGGAGCAAGGAGACAGGUGGUGCAUGGUUGUCGUCAGCUCGUGUCGUGAGAUGUUGGGUUAAGUCCCGCAACGAGCGCAACCCUUACUGUCAGUUACUACGCAAGAGGACUCUGGCAGGACUGCCGUUGACAAAACGGAGGAAGGUGGGGAUGACGUCAAAUCAUCAUGCCCUUUAUGACUUGGGCUACACACGUACUACAAUGGCGUUAAACAAAGAGAAGCAAGACCGCGAGGUGGAGCAAAACUCAGAAACAACGUCCCAGUUCGGACUGCAGGCUGCAACUCGCCUGCACGAAGUCGGAAUUGCUAGUAAUCGUGGAUCAGCAUGCCACGGUGAAUACGUUCNCCGGGCCUUGUACACACCGCCCGUC
Molecule: ribosomal RNA, 1369 nt
Filed under: uncultured bacterium
Lineage: Bacteria
Description: bacterial SSU rRNA
Rfam family: Bacterial small subunit ribosomal RNA
Source: RNAcentral